GAUGAACGCUGGCGGCGUGCCUAAUACAUGCAAGUCGAGCGAACGGACGAGAAGCUUGCUUCUCUGAUGUUAGCGGCGGACGGGUGAGUAACACGUGGAUAACCUACCUAUAAGACUGGGAUAACUUCGGGAAACCGGAGCUAAUACCGGAUAAUAUUUUGAACCGCAUGGUUCAAAAGUGAAAGACGGUCUUGCUGUCACUUAUAGAUGGAUCCGCGCUGCAUUAGCUAGUUGGUAAGGUAACGGCUUACCAAGGCAACGAUGCAUAGCCGACCUGAGAGGGUGAUCAGCCACACUGGAACUGAGACACGGUCCAGACUCCUACGGGAGGCAGCAGUAGGGAAUCUUCCGCAAUGGGCGAAAGCCUGACGGAGCAACGCCGCGUGAGUGAUGAAGGUCUUCGGAUCGUAAAACGCUGUUAUUAGGGAAGAACAUAUGUGUAAGUAACUGUGCACAACUUGACGGUACCUAAUCAGAAAGCCACGGCUAACUACGUG
RNAcentral lists this ribosomal RNA (497 nucleotides) under uncultured bacterium. RNAcentral's name for it is "partial 16S ribosomal RNA". It matches the Rfam family "Bacterial small subunit ribosomal RNA", at positions 28 to 507 of the family's 1533-position model. The record is from RNAcentral.